GUCCACGCCGUAAACGUUGGGCGCUAGGUGUGGGGCUCAUUCCACGAGUUCCGUGCCGCAGCUAACGCAUUAAGCGCCCCGCCUGGGGAGUACGGCCGCAAGGCUAAAACUCAAAGGAAUUGACGGGGGCCCCGCACAAGCGGCGGAGCAUGUUGCUUAAUUCGAUGCAACGCGAAGAACCUUACCUAGGCUUGACAUGCACGGAAAUCUCCCAGAGAUGGGGGGUCCGUAAGGGCCGUGCACAGGUGGUGCAUGGUUGUCGU
Molecule: ribosomal RNA, 263 nt
Filed under: uncultured bacterium
Lineage: Bacteria
Description: partial 16S ribosomal RNA
Rfam family: Bacterial small subunit ribosomal RNA
Source: RNAcentral